AUUCGAUGCAACGCGAAGAACCUUACCUACUCUUGACAUCCAGAGAAUUCGCUAGAGAUAGCUUAGUGCCUUCGGGAACUCUGAGACAGGUGCUGCAUGGCUGUCGUCAGCUCGUGUUGUGAAAUGUUGGGUUAAGUCCCGCAACGAGCGCAACCCUUAUCCUUUGUUGCCAGCACGUAAUGGUGGGAACUCAAAGGAGACUGCCGGUGAUAAACCGGAGGAAGGUGGGGAUGACGUCAAGUCAUCAUGGCCCUUACGAGUAGGGCUACACACGUGCUACAAUGGCAUAUACAAAGAGAAGCGAACUCGCGAGAGCAAGCGGACCUCAUAAAGUAUGUCGUAGUCCGGAUUGGAGUCUGCAACUCGACUCCAUGAAGUCGGAAUCGCUAGUAAUCGUAGAUCAGAAUGCUACGGUGAAUACGUUCCCGGGCCUUGUACACACCGCCCGUAAA
Molecule: ribosomal RNA, 452 nt
Filed under: Ewingella americana
Lineage: Bacteria; Pseudomonadati; Pseudomonadota; Gammaproteobacteria; Enterobacterales; Yersiniaceae
Description: bacterial SSU rRNA
Rfam family: Bacterial small subunit ribosomal RNA
Source: RNAcentral